RNAcentral lists this ribosomal RNA (233 nucleotides) under uncultured bacterium. Its description in RNAcentral is "partial 16S ribosomal RNA". The stretch from base 1 to 207 matches the Rfam family "Bacterial small subunit ribosomal RNA", at positions 326 to 535 of the family's 1533-position model. The record is from RNAcentral.
ACGCUCGACACCUACGGUAGGCAGCAGUAGGGAAUCUUCCACAAUGGACGCAAGUCUGAUGGAGCAACGCCGCGUGAGUGAAGAAGGUUUUCGGAUCGUAAAGCUCUGUUGUUGGUGAAGAAGGAUAGAGGUAGUAACUGGCCUUUAUUUGACGGUAAUCAACCAGAAAGUCACGGCUAACUACGUGCCAAGCACGCCGUAGGUAAUCUGAGGCCGGGUCGUGGACGAACGGC